Molecule: long non-coding RNA, 4209 nt
Filed under: Lactuca sativa (garden lettuce)
Lineage: Eukaryota; Viridiplantae; Streptophyta; Magnoliopsida; Asterales; Asteraceae
Description: long non-coding RNA (LSAT_LNC004419)
Source: RNAcentral
CUUGGCAUUCCAGCGAACCUUUCACUAUCGGGACACGACUUUGCUUCUUUCGUUUGACUUCACUGGCAUGACAACUCUUCUUGGUCGAACGUAUGUUGAAUGUUUUUGUGGACUGUGAGAAUAGUACAUCUUGUAUCCUACAAGUAGUGUCUCCAAAUCUUCCAAGCAAUUACCACUGCCCCUGACUCAAGAUCAUGUGUUGCAUAGUUGACUUCCUGCGUCUUAAGCUAUCUUGAGGUAUAGGCAGUGACCUUUCCUCUUGUAUAAGAACAAAACCAAUUCAUACUGAUUAUGAAGUCAGAACCUUGUCGUUGAUUAGAUGUCGGGAAGAUCUAAAAUAAAGUAUGAUUACUCAUGAAUUAAGGAAAAAGGAUAGGUACUUUUGUUCAAUCUGACUUUCUUGUCCCAAUCGACAAAAAGGGUACGUGUUGGGCUUCUAAGUUUAUUCGCAUGGCAGCAUGAUCACUCGUAGUCUUGGGUAGUCUCCAUCCUGAAGUUCAUAGUAGAACCCAUACCAGGUUCAUCAAUCACAGUCUCGGGUAUACGAGUCCUAUAUAAAUAAGCUUGAAACUGUGGGUCUUUAGAUUGAACUUGACGUACUGCACGAGUGGUACUUCGGGGCGGUUUGCUGAGUUUUUCUUCGGAAAGGAUGAGAAACAUGAGGUGCUCUAUGACGAGUACUUUGUUGUUCUGGAAUGACGGUUUUGCUAAAAAGACGAUUUCGGAGGAAGAGAUGUACGUAUGAAGCUGUUUUUGUGGGGAUAGAAUUGAAUCAAGUAGUAUGAUAAUGUCGGAAUCAUAAGGAAACUUAAAGACAUUAGGUUUAAACAUAAGAUGUUUACAGACAAAACACAACCGUGCAACCAUCAACAGAGUUACGGUACUUUAGACUUCUACAAGACUAUUGCUGUGAAUAAGGUAUACUUCGAAAGGCAAGUAUACGCAGCAGGAGCAUCCCUAUACCGACGGGAUCCUGCAAAAGAUAAGACUCUGGUUGCACUAGUUUUGGAUGGUUUAUAAGUCUGUUAUAACGACACGCCUAAGUUACAUUAACGAGGGUUUCGGAGUAGGCUCUCCUGAAGCUGUGAUCCUGAGAAUCUUCCCAUCUGCGCCAGAGUUCUUUGCUAUAGGGAAAUCCUUCUUGAAGUGCCCUAUUUCACCGCAUUGGUGGCAUGACUGGCUAUUACUUGCAUUGGUGACGGGAUUGCGGUGCUUAGCCAGUGUUAUGUGGACACGAGUGCCUUCCUCAUUACUCCACCUUGGAAAUUGCUUCCUAAAGCGUUCUAUCGGGGUUGCCACUGGUGGCUGUGGCAUGGCAAGUCUUUGGGAUCUCUUGCGCUCCCUUAGGGCUUUAUGAUAGCGUGUCUUCCUUUUGGUCUUUAGGCUUCGCAAUUCCAUGACUGUUGCCAUUUGUUGGUUUCCCGGUUUGGUACUACCAUCGGAACUCACGGUUCCUUUUUCAGCCUUGAUUGUGUUGCUUGAGUUGAUGUGUGUAAGGAAACUUGUCACAGCAGCUGCUACUGCAGCUAGUAAUGUAGCGGCGUCGAUAUGGAGGAUAGGGGUUUCGGUGCUCGGCUGAUUGUUUCUGGAUGACGACAUGAUUAUCCCUAUGAUGCAGUCCUAGUACAGAUUGGAAGUAUGUUUGCAGAAGUUUGACCUAUAUCCCUAUGAUGUAGUCCUAGUAUAGAUUGGAAGUAUGUUUGCGGAAGUUUGACCUACAUUCCUAUGAUGCUGUCCUAGUACUGAGUGGAAGUGUGUUUAUGAAGGGUUGACCUACAUCCCUAGGAUGUAGUCCUAGAAUGAGUGGAAGUAAGUUCACAGAAUGGUCUCAAGACGCUUGUCGUUCAAGCCGAGGUAUCGUUGGUUGGUGAAUAACAUGAUCCAACCAUUAAAAGAGACUUGGAAAUGUUUCCUGAGUUAAAUUACUAUGGUCAAAUGACUUGACUAAAGCAUGAUUCAGAUAGAUUCCAAUGAAAGUAUGAUAAGAGUACUUGAAUAAAGAAUGACACAGAAGUUAGCCGACUGUCAAUACCCUUGAUAUUUAUGACGUAAAAGUUUGGGAAAAUGACCUUGUAAAAGGCCUUACAUCAUAUCCAUAGGAGAUAGUUCUUGUCAUCAUAAAGAACUAACCAAAAGUACUUACAGUACAAGGUAGUCACAUAGAAAGUACUACACAGGACAUAGACAGGAACACGGUUCUUUAAAACAAAGAAGGAAGUAAGGUAUCUCUUACUGGCGACAGUCACCCCCAUGGUGAACCCUUAGUUCAAUUAGUUGACGUUCCAUAUCGAACGGGUAUCUCUCGUACACUCUCUGGCGUACUUGGAGCUCUAUGACUUUGGCUCGGGUGUUUGGCUAGUGCUUGCAGCAGGGUCUCAUGGUUUCUCUCUGAUCUCUCGUGAGCAUCUCCUAGAUGAAUGGUGCGGAGGGUAUGCAUUCUUGCAUCAACGACAACUUCGGCAUUCUAAUGUAGGGCUGUCCUGCCUUGAAUCUCAUUUCGGGCCACUCNNNNNNNNNNNNNNNNNNNNNNNNNNNNNNNNNNNNNNNNNNNNNNNNNNNNNNNNNNNNNNNNNNNNNNNNNNNNNNNNNNNNNNNNNNNNNNNNNNNNAUAAUUAUCGCGUGUUUUACUUGUAUUCCCCUCUUAAAAGCAUAUAAAAACAUUUAUAAAACAUUUAAAUGUGUGGAUUAUAGGGAUAUGAACUCACUUGAUUGAUUGAAGAAAGCGUGACGAAAACCGAACAGAACUUCUACUCGAGAAAGCGGAUCUCUCGAGAUUCUCGGGAAUCUCGGGAGCGUAAAACUUCAUUCCAUACUUGGAUAUGAAAAACGGGACUUUGGGAUGGCUCCGAGGGUUGAAACGCAGAGCUUCGGCGCGAGAAAGGAAGAAAAUUAGCAAAUAUGGCCGGCACCCUCGCAACCUUUAUAUAGGGGCUGAAAGACCUCGGUACGCGGGGCGUACGAGACGUCAUGGAUGACCGGAUCCUCGGUCGAAGCAUCGGAGCGACGUGGACGAACCGGAGCCUAGCAUCCGAGUACACGGGGCGUAUGAGGGUACGCUGGGCGUAACCUAGAUUUGUCCGAUGACUCCUUCGGAUAAUACCGGAUUUUAAUUAAAUUUAUAUUUUAAUUAAUUAGUAAACUUCAAAAAUUCAUAUCCUCCUCAUACGAACUCCGUUUUCGACGUUCUUUGUAUCCACGCGUAGGUGAGACUACGAUCUACAAAUUUUGUUUUGACUCCGUCGGCAAAUCUUGACUUUAUUUUUAAUAUUAUAUUAUAAUAGGUCGGGACAGGAAAAGUUCGUUAAAGUUCCAUAACUUCUUCAUCCGACGUCCGUUUUCGUCAGACUUUUUAUUGUUGCGCUAGUAUUGUUGAGCCCUUCGAUUCUCAUUUAGAUCGUGUCGGCUAAAAGUCUCUCGAUCUCUAUUUCGAGUUUUUAGCUGUCUACUGUUAUAUCUGUAACUUAGAAUAAUCACAACUUCCUCAUACGAAGUCAGAUUUGGAUGUUCUUUUUAUGCACCUUUACGGUUUAAUGAUAUCUAAAACUUUUAUUUAGAUACUUAAGGCUAAAAACUAUUGUAUUGAAAUUUCGCAUUUUACGUCUAUCAGUAUUGCCGGUUUUCGCCGAGAAUCUUUUGUUGGUUAUAACUUCUUCGUUAUAACUCGGAUUUUAGGGUUCUUUAUAGGUAUGAAAACCUUGAUACGAUUUCUACUACUUUAUUUAACCCAAAUAAGAUUUUAGGAAAGUUAAAUUUUGACCUAAAUUUGACUUGCGUUCGAUCAUAUUGGCUCAAAAUAUCGGGUUGUCACAUCAGCCCCCCUAUUAGUGGGAAUUUCGUCCCGAAAUUAGAGUUUAAACCGAACUGGUAAACAUGCUAUGGAUAGAAGUUUUAUUUGCUUCUCGUGUUCUUAAGUGAACUCGGUCCCUCGCUUGGCAUUCCAGCGAACCUUUCACUAUCGGGACACGACUUUGCUUCUUUCGUUUGACUUCACUGGCAUGACAACUCUUCUUGGUCGAACGUAUGUUGAAUGUUUUUGUGGACUUUGAGAAUAGUACAUCUUGUAUCCUACAAGUAGUGUCUCCAAAUCUUCCAAGCAAUUACCGCUGCCCCUGACUCAAGAUCAUGUGUUGCAUAGUUAACUUCCUGCAUCUUAAGCUGUCUUGAGGUAUAGGCAGUGACCUUUCCUCUUGUAUAAGAACAAAACCAAUU